UACGUAGGGGGCAAGCGUUGUCCGGAAUCAUUGGGCGUAAAGAGCGUGUAGGCGGUCCGAUAAGUCCGCUGUGAAAGUCCAGGGCUCAACCCUGGGAUGCCGGUGGAUACUGUCGGGCUCGAGUCCGGAAGAGGAGUGUGGAAUUCCUGGUGUAGCGGUGAAAUGCGCAGAUAUCAGGAGGAACACCAAUGGCGAAGGCAGCACUCUGGGACGUGACUGACGCUGAGACGCGAAAGCGUGGGGAGCAAACAGG
This 253-nucleotide ribosomal RNA is filed under the name uncultured bacterium. RNAcentral describes it as "partial 16S ribosomal RNA". It matches the Rfam family "Bacterial small subunit ribosomal RNA", at positions 524 to 776 of the family's 1533-position model. The record is from RNAcentral.